ACAUCACUUCACCACCCUGACAACUGACCCCCCCCCCCCCCCCCACCCUCUCCUCCCUGUUGCCUGGGCAACAAGAACAUUGAAGGUACACUGAAGUAUUUCCGAAGAGGUUUUAUGUUUCUGUUGUUAGUUUUCUGAAAUAGAAAAAGAAAGAUAACAUUUUACUUUGUUUUUUCAAACUUUAGUUUAAAACAACACAAAUAUAACAAAAUAAAAACUAAAAUGAGAAGAAAAAAAUACUACAGAAACUACUGAAGACUUUUUAUUUGUUUUGAAUUUAUUAUUAAAAGAGAUUGUAUUUUAAAGUUGUUUUCAUUAAUCCAUUCAUGCUGUUAGCUUCAUAGAUGAGUUUGCUUGUUGUUGGGGGUAUCUAUUAGUUUUCAGAUACUGUAAUACUGGGUAUCAUUUAAAAAAACGUGUAUUUUUUAUGGGUGUUUUUAGAUGUGUUAUAGUUCUGUUCUGGAACAUGGCCUGUCACUUCACUGUCUCCUCCAGCAGACUAAGACUGAAUUGUUUUAUUUUAUCAUGUUGUUGUUGUUGUUGUUGUUGUUCUGUACUUUAUUCUAAUUGUUUGUAAUUGCUUGAUUCUCACAUGGUGAACAAAUAUGGACAAAGGCGUUUAUUAUUUUGUAUUGCUCUGCCCUAACACUCUCUAGCGCUAGCAUAUGCUACGUACGCUAAGCUAACUGCUAAACUAGCAUAUGCUACGUGCUAAGCUAACUGUUAAACUAGCAUAUGCUACGUGCUAAGCUUACCGAAACACCCUGUUAGCUUUAUGCUAAGCUUACCGAAACACCCUGUUAGCUUUAUGCUAAGCUAGCAGCAUCACACUCCGCUGAGCUUCAACCGACUGUAAAGCCUUUCUACCGCAGUGCCUUUCUACUAGAGAUCUGUGUCUCUCUGGGUUCGACUAUUGUGCCUUUCCACUAGCCCGGUCUUAUGAUCUCUGAGCUCAACUGCAGUGCCUGUUGAGUGGAAAUGUGCUUAACUCUCUACACUACACUAGCAUUUCACAGAAUUACUACAUGCCCAAUAGACUGCUUCGUUCUCAGCGGUAGCUGGUCGUUGGAACAGAGACUAUGGUCAGGAUUUAAUCCCAAACCGCUUGACGUUUAGAGGUCAUUUCCAAUUAGACCUUCCUCAUCUGAGGUGGAAUCAACCUUCCUCAUCUGAGGUGGAAUCGACCUUCCUCAUCUGAGGUGGAAGGUGACCUUCCUCAUCUGAGGUGGAAGGUGACCUUCCUCAUCUGAGGUGAAAUCGACCUUCCUCAUCUGAGGUGGGAAGGUGACAGAGCUACAGCGGUGUUUGUCAAGAGAUCGUGGUGAAACAUCCCUGUUGGUCUUCUCACAAAUACUUCUCUAGCGUCCUAACGAGUCAGAUUGGACCAUCUUAAAACAAUUCCAUAUGUAACCAGAUUGUACGAUUUAGUUAGUUUAGUUGGAACUCAGGGCCCUUAGACCCCUUUUUCUAACAGCUUUGUGAUGGGGAAUAUAAUUAUAUUGAAACUAACCUUCCAACUGGAACCAAGCCUUAGAGACACACACACAGGUUCUCUCUUCCCUCUGUAACUCCUGUCAGGCUGACUUGACCUGCUGGUAACUAACACACAUCAGCCUCCAGAUCCAACGUGAAAACAAUUGGAACUAAGCCUUAGAGACACAGACACAGGUUCUCUCUUCCCCCUCACAGUGUUCCUCUGUAACUCCUGUCAGGCUGACCUGACCUGCUGGUAACUAACACACAUCAGCCUCCAGAUCCAACGUGAAAACAAUUGGAACUAAGCCUUAGAGACACAGACACAGGUUCUCUCUUCCCCCUCACAGUGUUCCUCUGUAACUCCUGUCAGGCUGACCUGACCUGCUGGUAACUAACACACAUCAGCCUCCAACGUGAAAACAACUGGAACCAAGCCGUAGAGACACAGACACAGGUUCUCUCUUCCCUCUGUAACUCCUGUCAGGCUGACCUGACCUGCUAGUAACUAACACACAUCAGCCUCCACAUCCAACGUGAAAACAACAUCAAAAAAGCUGCUACACGAGGCUGACAAAUGUUUGUUUGUUGGGAGAGAAGAAGAAGAGAGAGAGAGAGAACCUCAAACUACAUGUUGCCGUCCUAGUAUCAC
Molecule: non-coding RNA, 2125 nt
Organism: Oncorhynchus mykiss (rainbow trout)
Lineage: Eukaryota; Metazoa; Chordata; Actinopteri; Salmoniformes; Salmonidae
Source: RefSeq, a predicted model, not a curated record